This 497-nucleotide ribosomal RNA is filed under the name uncultured bacterium. RNAcentral's name for it is "partial 16S ribosomal RNA". It matches the Rfam family "Bacterial small subunit ribosomal RNA", at positions 28 to 507 of the family's 1533-position model. The record is from RNAcentral.
GAUGAACGCUGGCGGCGUGCCUAAUACAUGCAAGUCGAGCGAACAGACGAGGAGCUUGCUCCUCUGACGUUAGCGGCGGACGGGUGAGUAACACGUGGAUAACCUACCUAUAAGACUGGGAUAACUUCGGGAAACCGGAGCUAAUACCGGAUAACAUGUUGAACCGCAUGGUUCAACAGUGAAAGACGGUUUUGCUGUCACUUAUAGAUGGAUCCGCGCCGCAUUAGCUAGUUGGUAAGGUAACGGCUUACCAAGGCAACGAUGCGUAGCCGACCUGAGAGGGUGAUCGGCCACACUGGAACUGAGACACGGUCCAGACUCCUACGGGAGGCAGCAGUAGGGAAUCUUCCGCAAUGGGCGAAAGCCUGACGGAGCAACGCCGCGUGAGUGAAGAAGGUCUUCGGAUCGUAAAACUCUGUUAUUAGAGAAGAACAAAUGUGUAAGUAACUAUGCACGUCUUGACGGUACCUAAUCAGAAAGCCACGGCUAACUACGUG